CCUGAACUGGGACCAUCUUUCCAGCCGGAGUCCUCUUAUAACGAGCAUGUCCACAAAACUUACAAUCUUCUAAUUCACUAUCAGUCUUGUAAAACAACAUGCAGCCAUUAACACAACAAUGAAUUCUAUCAUAUGUCAAUCCUAACUUGGACACCAAACGCUUUGCCUGAUAGAAGUUCUUUGGUAUGUUAAACUCCGGAUUAACUAGUUCACCCAAAAGAUCAACCAUUGAGUCCAUAGCAACAUUAGGAACAUUCCAAUCUGAUUUAAUA
Molecule: long non-coding RNA, 272 nt
Filed under: Solanum tuberosum (potato)
Lineage: Eukaryota; Viridiplantae; Streptophyta; Magnoliopsida; Solanales; Solanaceae
Description: long non-coding RNA (STUB_LNC000180)
Source: RNAcentral